RNAcentral lists this unclassified non-coding RNA (301 nucleotides) under Funneliformis mosseae. Its description in RNAcentral is "partial internal transcribed spacer 2". The record is from RNAcentral. Lineage: Eukaryota; Fungi; Glomeromycota; Glomeromycetes; Glomerales; Glomeraceae.
GGGAAGCAGCGAAGCGGGGAACGCAAAGGGCACGCGCCGGGGGGCCGGGAGAGGAGGCCGGGGGGAGGGGCGUUAGAAGAAAAAAUCGAGGCGGCGCGCGGGGUUUAAGGGUGAUCGCGUCGGAAUUGAGCCGUCUUUCAAAUGUUAAUGCAUGUCAAAGUGGCUUAAAAUUCAUCCAUCCGGUACGAUUAAAGCGUAUUUAAGAUCAAUUUUGAUUAAGAACGCGCGAUGAACGUACCAUCUCAUGUAGUACGUUUGACUUGACGUCGUCAGGUUCAUUCGUAUACGAUACUCAAACUUU